This 829-nucleotide ribosomal RNA is filed under the name uncultured bacterium. RNAcentral's name for it is "bacterial SSU rRNA". It matches the Rfam family "Bacterial small subunit ribosomal RNA", at positions 51 to 893 of the family's 1533-position model. The record is from RNAcentral.
ACACAUGCAAGUCGAACGAGAGAGAGGGAGCUUGCUUCCUCGAUCGAGUGGCGAACGGGUGAGUAACGCGUGAGGAACCUGCCUCAAAGAGGGGGACAACAGUUGGAAACGACUGCUAAUACCGCAUAAGCCCACGGCUCGGCAUCGAGCAGAGGGAAAAGGAGCAAUCCGCUUUGAGAUGGCCUCGCGUCCGAUUAGCUAGUUGGUGAGGUAAUGGCCCACCAAGGCGACGAUCGGUAGCCGGACUGAGAGGUUGAACGGCCACAUUGGGACUGAGACACGGCCCAGACUCCUACGGGAGGCAGCAGUGGGGAAUAUUGCACAAUGGGGGAAACCCUGAUGCAGCGACGCCGCGUGGAGGAAGAAGGUCUUCGGAUUGUAAACUCCUGUUGUUGAGGAAGAUAAUGACGGUACUCAACAAGGAAGUGACGGCUAACUACGUGCCAGCAGCCGCGGUAAAACGUAGGUCACAAGCGUUGUCCGGAAUUACUGGGUGUAAAGGGAGCGCAGGCGGGCGAUCAAGUUGGAAGUGAAAUCCAUGGGCUCAACCCAUGAACUGCUUUCAAAACUGAUUGUCUUGAGUAGUGCAGAGGUAGGCGGAGUUCCCGGUGUAGCGGUGGAAUGCGUAGAUAUCGGGAGGAACACCAGUGGCGAAGGCGGCCUACUGGGCACCAACUGACGCUGAGGCUCGAAAGUGUGGGUAGCAAACAGGAUUAGAUACCCUGGUAGUCCACACCGUAAACGAUGAUUACUAGGUGUUGGAGGAUUGACCCCUUCAGUGCCGCAGUUAACACAAUAAGUAAUCCACCUGGGGAGUACGACCGCAAGG